Pangasianodon hypophthalmus (striped catfish) is the source of this 1454-nucleotide long non-coding RNA. RefSeq lists it as uncharacterized. The transcript has 3 exons. NCBI's taxonomy places the organism in Eukaryota, Metazoa, Chordata, Actinopteri, Siluriformes, Pangasiidae. The record is from RefSeq and is a predicted model, not a curated record.
UCUCCCCUCGCUCUCGAUACCGGCGUUCGACACAGUGGUGCGGGUAAUGUGGCCUAUAUCUCCUAGCGCGUUUUGUUUGGACAUGCGUGUGUUUUAAUGGUAAGUUGAGCAUCAAGUAAUUGCCUUUUUUAAGUGUUAGUUACUCUAAUUUGAUCGGUUUUGCACCAUUUAUAGUGAUACCUGAAGUCAACGGGUUAAUCACUGUGACUUAUGUUUGGUCGGACUGCCUACUCUCAGUACUACCAUCUCUCUAUCGCCGUAUGCCUGGGUCAGCUGUAUGUUGGUAUGGCAUUUGGCUGUAUGUUCUGGCUUGUUGUUAGCAUUUAUGCUUUGCUGCUAGCGCGGCCGGUAUUUUGAUUCAUCAUUAGUUUGAGACUGCCGGUUUUUAUCUUCGUAAUUUGGAGUGUUCCUGCUGGGCUUGUAAACUGACCAUCAGUACCCAGAAAUACGCUGCUGUCUUGUUCCCAUUUAAUUUACUUAUAUUUUGCGUUAUAUUAGUAAUUGCUUCCCAUGUUAGCUUUCCUUGAGCUCUUCACUGGAUGGUUCAGUCGGGUGCUUCUAGCAGUGGACUACAAGGACUUUUGCAGCUCCUGUAUACCUCCUGUUGAAGGCCUGGUGGUCCUAUUCGUCUGAUUGCUUGGUGGAUGGCUACUUUUCCUUUUUUUUUUUGUUAUUUUUGGAGUGUAUUGUCCCGUGUAUGUGGUUUUUGUUUUCUUUUUUUUGUAUACUCUUUUUGAUAUUUCUUCUGUUCUUUUGGAAUUAGUGGUUGUGUGCGUGUCCGGUUGAAGCUGACUGAGUCUAUCUAAUUGCAGGUGCUGUGUCCAACAAAGGCAGGGAGGCAGAUUCUUCACGUGUGUGUGUGGUGCUGGUGUUCACUGUGUGCUGUGUAAAGCCGAUCUUCCACCAUAACUUCACUGGGUAUUGAGUGAGUGUGAAUGUGUGCACUGAUAGCAUGUGGUAACUAGAUAUUGUGCUGCCUUAAGUUUAUACUAGUUGGCCACAGCCCUGUAACCUUAGGUGGAACAUGUACUGUGAAGAACUGCAGGUACUACUAUUUUAAGUUGCAUUUUGACUUGUCUCUUUUUAAAAGGUGAUUAUUGAAUAAUAAAGCAAUGCAUCUUUUGUACCUACGUCUCUUGCUCUAUUUCUUAGUAGAACCGAACCUGUGUUCCUUUGAGUAAUAUUCACUGGGACAUAGUAUUUCCCUGGGUGAAAGUCCUGGGGUGGCGUAGUCGUCUUGUUUAGUGUAAUAAUUUCUGUUGUCCUGUACCACUCCGCUACAUUCAGUUUUUUUAAUUUAUUACAGAACAACACAUCAUACCUUUUUAUCUCUUUAUAUAGUAGUUACAUUUAAUAAUAAUAGUAUCCAUUUAUAGUCACUUUUAUUGAUAAGAUGAUUGUUUGGAUUCCUUCCUGGAUUCCCAUUAUUUGUAGAUAGAAAAUAUAUUUUUGCA